RNAcentral lists this ribosomal RNA (253 nucleotides) under uncultured bacterium. RNAcentral's name for it is "partial 16S ribosomal RNA". It matches the Rfam family "Bacterial small subunit ribosomal RNA", at positions 524 to 776 of the family's 1533-position model. The record is from RNAcentral.
UACGAAGGGGGCUAGCGUUGCUCGGAAUCACUGGGCGUAAAGCGCACGUAGGCGGCUUUUUAAGUCAGGGGUGAAAUCCUGGAGCUCAACUCCAGAACUGCCUUUGAUACUGAGAAGCUUGAGUCCGGGAGAGGUGAGUGGAACUGCGAGUGUAGAGGUGAAAUUCGUAGAUAUUCGCAAGAACACCAGUGACGAAGGCGGCUCACUGGCCCGGUACUGACGCUGAGGUGCGAAAGCGUGGGGAGCAAACAGG